This 31-nucleotide non-coding RNA is filed under the name Rattus norvegicus (Norway rat). The record is from RNAcentral. Lineage: Eukaryota; Metazoa; Chordata; Mammalia; Rodentia; Muridae.
UGAAAAUAUUGUCCCUUUCACUUUGACUAUC